This 374-nucleotide ribosomal RNA is filed under the name uncultured eukaryote. RNAcentral's name for it is "partial 18S ribosomal RNA". It matches the Rfam family "Eukaryotic small subunit ribosomal RNA", at positions 592 to 976 of the family's 1831-position model. The record is from RNAcentral.
CAAGAGCGUAUGUAAAAGUUGUUGCAGUUAAAAAGCUCGUAGUUGAACCUUGGGUUUGGUUGGCCGGUCCGCUUUUUUGCGAGUACUGGAUUCAACCGAGCCUUUCCUUCUGGCUAACCAGUCGUUUCGGCGGCUGGCGAACCAGGAUUUUUACUUUGAGAAAAUUAGAGUGUUCAAAGCAGGCAUUAGCUUGAAUAUAUUAGCAUGGAAUAAUAGAAUAGGACGUUAUGGUUCUAUUUUGUUGGUUUCUAGGACCAUCGUAAUGAUCAAUAGGGACGGUCGGGGGCAUCAGUAUUCAGUUGUCAGAGGUGAAAUUCUUGGAUUUACUGAAGACUAACUACUGCGAAAGCAUUUGCCAAGGACGUUUUCAUUAA